Molecule: non-coding RNA, 118 nt
Organism: Canis lupus familiaris (dog)
Lineage: Eukaryota; Metazoa; Chordata; Mammalia; Carnivora; Canidae
Source: Rfam
GUGCUGCUUCGGCAGCACAUAUACUAAAAAAUUGGAACGAUAGAGAGAAGAUUAGCCUUGUGCAGGGGCCACCCUGCGCAAGGAUGACAUGCAAAUUCGUGAAGUGUUAAAAAAAUAA